CUCUUAAUUGAUGCAGACAAAAUGUUGUCGUCAUUGUGUUCCAAUAUUGCUAUCAUGUUAAAUUAUAAAAUUCAUCUUAACAUAGACAUAUUACUGACAUGAUUGUUUUACUAUGAAGAUAUAUAUAUGUACUAAAAAGUGCGAAUUUUUCCAGUUUUGGUUGAUGCAGUCAAAUCAAAUUAUGUUUCACCAGUCAGUCUGCGGUAUCAACAUUACUAAAUUUGGUUGACGA
Molecule: long non-coding RNA, 232 nt
Filed under: Mytilus galloprovincialis (Mediterranean mussel)
Lineage: Eukaryota; Metazoa; Mollusca; Bivalvia; Mytilida; Mytilidae
Source: RNAcentral